GAGGGUACAGCUUAGUGGUAGAGUGCAUGCUUAGUGUGCCCAAAUUCCUGGGUUCAAUCCCCAGUACCUCCU
RNAcentral lists this transfer RNA (72 nucleotides) under Camelus bactrianus (Bactrian camel). It matches the Rfam family "tRNA". From Rfam's summary of the family: Transfer RNA (tRNA) molecules are approximately 80 nucleotides in length. Their secondary structure includes four short double-helical elements and three loops (D, anti-codon, and T loops). Further hydrogen bonds mediate the characteristic L-shaped molecular structure. tRNAs have two regions of fundamental functional importance: the anti-codon, which is responsible for specific mRNA codon recognition, and the 3' end, to which the tRNAs corresponding amino acid is attached (by aminoacyl-tRNA synthetases). tRNAs cope with the degeneracy of the genetic code in two manners: having more than one tRNA (with a specific anti-codon) for a particular amino acid; and 'wobble' base-pairing, i.e. permitting non-standard base-pairing at the 3rd anti-codon position. RNAcentral also lists the same sequence under 2 other names. The record is from Rfam by way of RNAcentral. Lineage: Eukaryota; Metazoa; Chordata; Mammalia; Artiodactyla; Camelidae.